Molecule: ribosomal RNA, 1546 nt
Filed under: Frischella sp. Ac48
Lineage: Bacteria; Pseudomonadati; Pseudomonadota; Gammaproteobacteria; Orbales; Orbaceae
Description: bacterial SSU rRNA
Rfam family: Bacterial small subunit ribosomal RNA
Source: RNAcentral
AAAUUGAAGAGUUUGAUCAUGGCUCAGAUUGAACGCUGGCGGCAGGCUUAACACAUGCAAGUCGAACGGUAACAUGGGUGCUUGCACCUGAUGACGAGUGGCGGACGGGUGAGUAAAGUAUGGGGAUCUGCCGAAUGGUGGGGGACAACAGUUGGAAACGACUGCUAAUACCGCAUAAAGUCGCGAGACCAAAGGGGGUGCUUAAGUUUACUUAGGUGCACUUGCCAUUUGAUGAACCCAUAUGGGAUUAGCUAGUUGGUGAGGUAAUGGCUUACCAAGGCGACGAUCUCUAGCUGGUCUGAGAGGAUGACCAGCCACACUGGAACUGAGACACGGUCCAGACUCCUACGGGAGGCAGCAGUGGGGAAUAUUGCACAAUGGGGGAAACCCUGAUGCAGCCAUGCCGCGUGUAUGAAGAAGGCCUUCGGGUUGUAAAGUACUUUCGGUGGUGAGGAAGUUGUGUGUAUGAAAAGUGCAUAUAAUUGACGUUAGCCACAGAAGAAGCACCGGCUAACUCCGUGCCAGCAGCCGCGGUAAUACGGAGGGUGCGAGCGUUAAUCGGAAUGACUGGGCGUAAAGGGCAUGUAGGCGGAUGAUUAAGUUAGGUGUGAAAGCCCCGGGCUCAACCUGGGAAUAGCAUUUAAAACUGGUCGUCUGGAGUACUGUAGAGGGAGGUAGAAUUCCACGUGUAGCGGUGAAAUGCGUAGAGAUGUGGAGGAAUACCGGUGGCGAAGGCGGCCUUCUGGACAGAUACUGACGCUGAGAUGCGAAAGCGUGGGGAGCAAACAGGAUUAGAUACCCUGGUAGUCCACGCUGUAAACGAUGUCGAUUUGGAGUUUGUUGCCCUGAGUGAUGGGCUCCGAAGCUAACGCGAUAAAUCGACCGCCUGGGGAGUACGGCCGCAAGGUUAAAACUCAAAUGAAUUGACGGGGGCCCGCACAAGCGGUGGAGCAUGUGGUUUAAUUCGAUGCAACGCGAAGAACCUUACCUGGUCUUGACAUCCACAGAAUCUGGCAGAGAUGCUGGAGUGCCUUCGGGAACUGUGAGACAGGUGCUGCAUGGCUGUCGUCAGCUCGUGUUGUGAAAUGUUGGGUUAAGUCCCGCAACGAGCGCAACCCUUAUCCUUUGUUGCCAGCGAUUAGGUCGGGAACUCAAAGGAGACUGCCGUUGAUAAAGCGGAGGAAGGUGGGGACGACGUCAAGUCAUCAUGGCCCUUACGACCAGGGCUACACACGUGCUACAAUGGCGUAUACAAAGGGAAGCGAAGGUGCGAGCUGGAGCGGACCUCCUAAAGUACGUCUAAGUCCGGAUUGGAGUCUGCAACUCGACUCCAUGAAGUCGGAAUCGCUAGUAAUCGUGAAUCAGAAUGUCACGGUGAAUACGUUCCCGGGCCUUGUACACACCGCCCGUCACACCAUGGGAGUGGGUUGCACCAGAAGUAGAUAGCUUAACCUUCGGGAGGGCGUUUACCACGGUGUGAUUCAUGACUGGGGUGAAGUCGUAACAAGGUAACCGUAGGGGAACCUGCGGUUGGAUCACCUCCUUA